GCCCAGGUGGCGGAAUUGGCAGACGCGCUGGCUUCAGGUGCUAGUGAUCCUAGGAUCGUGAAGGUUCGAAUCCUUUUCUGGGCACCA
This 87-nucleotide transfer RNA is filed under the name Hyphomicrobiaceae bacterium. RNAcentral's name for it is "tRNA-Leu". It matches the Rfam family "tRNA". Rfam says of the family: Transfer RNA (tRNA) molecules are approximately 80 nucleotides in length. Their secondary structure includes four short double-helical elements and three loops (D, anti-codon, and T loops). RNAcentral also lists the same sequence under 1 other name. The record is from RNAcentral. Lineage: Bacteria; Pseudomonadati; Pseudomonadota; Alphaproteobacteria; Hyphomicrobiales; Hyphomicrobiaceae.